RNAcentral lists this ribosomal RNA (1278 nucleotides) under Triticum aestivum (bread wheat). RNAcentral describes it as "partial small subunit ribosomal RNA". Lineage: Eukaryota; Viridiplantae; Streptophyta; Magnoliopsida; Poales; Poaceae. The record is from RNAcentral.
AUGGAGAGCCUCGUCCUCGCCUCCUCGUGCUCCGCGUCUCCCCGCCUGCCCCUCCUCUCCGCCGCCAGCCGCCCGUCGCGGCCCCUCCCGGCGGCGCCGCUCUCCGCUGCCGCCGGGCGGAGGGGAGCCAGGCGGCCGAGGCUCGUCGUCUCCGCCGCCUCCCGCGGAUCUAGGAACGUUUCAGAUGGAUUUAACACAAAGGGAUUUGCAAGCAUAUCGUCUUCAACCAGCACCGAGAAUACAUCGACGGGAACUGGCACCGUGCCUCCCAUGCCGCCUCCCUCAUCAUAUAUUGGUUCACCUGUUUUCUGGAUUGGCGUUGGUGUAGCAUUAUCUGCAGCAUUUUCCAUGGUCUCUUCGAUGGUAAAGAAAUACGCAAUGGAACAAGCAUUCAAGUCGAUGAUGACCCAGGCACCACCAAACACAUUUGGUGCGAACUCGCCAUUCCCAUUCUCCAUGCCACCACAGGCAGGUUCCACGGCACCAAGUAGUUACCCAUACUCAGGACCAAGGAAAAAUACCCCAAAAGGUGCAACUGUUGAUGUUUCAGCUACUGAUGUGGCAGCAACUGGAUCUUCGGAAGCAGCUGAUGUGGCAGAGACAUCGAAGCCUUCAAAGAAAUUUGCCUUUGUUGAUGUUUCUCCCGAAGAGUUGCAAAAACAGAAGGAGCUUCAAUCUUCAUUGCAGACGGUAGAUGUAAAAAGUGAUAGCACUGAAAGUGAAACGAAGGGUGAUACUGAACAAGUUCCUACAAAUGGUGCUGCUUUUAAGCCGAGUGAAGAUUCCUCUACCUGGACAACUGAAUCCAGUAAGUCAGGACCUAUGCUAUCUAUUGAUACAAUUGAGAAAAUGAUGGAAGACCCAGCUGUGCAGAAGAUGGUUUACCCCUACUUGCCUGAGGAGAUGAGGAACCCAGAUUCAUUCAAGUCGAUGCUUCAGAAUCCGAUGUACCGCCAACAACUGGAGGAUAUGCUAAACAACAUGGGCGCAUCUCCUGAUCAAUGGGAUAACCGCAUGGUUGAUCACUUGAAGAACUUUGACCUUAGCAGUCCUGAAGUUAGGCAGCAGUUUGCGCAAGUUGGCAUGACUCCAGAGGAAGUUGUAGCGAAAAUAAUGGCGAACCCAGAAGUUGCUGUUGCAUUCCAGAAUCCAAAAAUUCAAACGGCCAUCAUGGAUUGCUCGCAGAACCCUCUGAAUAUUGUAAAAUACCAAAAUGACCAAGAGGUCAUGGAUGUUUUUAUGAAGAUAUCGCAAAUCUUCCCCCAAAUUAAUGGCUAG